UUAUUUGCACAGAGGUUGUACCAUGGCCAAUGAGGUAAAUCCGAGGCAUGGUUAUUGCUAGUUUGUGCUUAAUGGCACUUCGUCUGUCUGAGUUUAAAUUCUGCUGAGGCCAACUUUGUCUUUCAUCUUUUCAAGUUUGA
Octopus bimaculoides (California two-spot octopus) is the source of this 140-nucleotide small nuclear RNA. The record is from RefSeq and is a predicted model, not a curated record. NCBI's taxonomy places the organism in Eukaryota, Metazoa, Mollusca, Cephalopoda, Octopoda, Octopodidae.